AUGAGAGUGAAUCUGCAGCACCUGUUGCCAUUGCAGCAGAGUUGCACUGCUUGGAGAAACUUCUCCUUAUGCCUAAGUAAAAGCCCACUUCUCUCCAUGACAGUAUCCUGGGACCUUGGAGGUCCAGGCCAUCCCCACAGAUCACAGUGGAGCAAGGGAGCAGCAGCACAGGGCAGCAUCUGGUUCUGCAGGGCUAUGUUGGGUACCCAAAAGAGCACCCAAAAGAGCAUCUGGAGAGACUCAGGAGGGGACAAUCUCCCAUCUCAGCCCUCCCCAUCUCUGACCGCUUCAGCUAUCAAGACUCACGUCCUCUGCUUGGUAGGAGUUAUGCCACCAGCGAUGGUGAUGCAGAGCAGUGAGAGUGCUUUGAGAAUAGUGCCUGGGGUUACCAGCCCCCGACCACGACCCGCUGACAGCACCAGCAGGCACCGGGCACUCCUGCACGACCCCAGCCUCUGCGGCACAAAGCAGAUGGAUGCUACCACGAUGCAGGAUGAAGUGACAGGCACGCAUGAAGUUUCCACCUCCCAAAACACCCCCUCAGUGCUGACUCCCUUGUCUCAGUCACUGCCAUCAAGUGAGAUAAUGAACUCCCGAGCACAGCACAGAGAGGAGCAGGCACUCAAACGAGAGCUAACAGCGGCUGCCGAAGAAAUCAUUAAAAGUAAGUACCAGACUUCAGAGAUCGUUUGCAGGAGAAGUCUAAAUCCAUACCCACAGCCUUUCUGCUCUCCUUAUUGA
This 741-nucleotide long non-coding RNA is filed under the name Anas platyrhynchos platyrhynchos (common mallard). RNAcentral describes it as "lncRNA (ENSAPLG00000024974.1)". The record is from RNAcentral. Lineage: Eukaryota; Metazoa; Chordata; Aves; Anseriformes; Anatidae.